UACGAAGGGAGCUAGCGUUGUUCGGAAUCACUGGGCGUAAAGCGCACGUAGGCGGAUGUGUCAGUCAGGGGUGAAAUCCCGGAGCUCAACUUCGGAACUGCCUUUGAUACAGCACAUCUGGAGUCCGGAAGAGGUGGGUGGAAUUCCUAGUGUAGAGGUGAAAUUCGUAGAUAUUAGGAAGAACACCGGUGGCGAAGGCGGCCCACUGGGCCGGUACUGACGCUGAGGUGCGAAAGCGUGGGGAGCAAACAGG
This 253-nucleotide ribosomal RNA is filed under the name uncultured bacterium. RNAcentral's name for it is "partial 16S ribosomal RNA". It matches the Rfam family "Bacterial small subunit ribosomal RNA", at positions 524 to 776 of the family's 1533-position model. The record is from RNAcentral.